This 73-nucleotide transfer RNA is filed under the name Thelebolus microsporus. Its description in RNAcentral is "tRNA-Lys". It matches the Rfam family "tRNA". From Rfam's summary of the family: Transfer RNA (tRNA) molecules are approximately 80 nucleotides in length. Their secondary structure includes four short double-helical elements and three loops (D, anti-codon, and T loops). Further hydrogen bonds mediate the characteristic L-shaped molecular structure. tRNAs have two regions of fundamental functional importance: the anti-codon, which is responsible for specific mRNA codon recognition, and the 3' end, to which the tRNAs corresponding amino acid is attached (by aminoacyl-tRNA synthetases). tRNAs cope with the degeneracy of the genetic code in two manners: having more than one tRNA (with a specific anti-codon) for a particular amino acid; and 'wobble' base-pairing, i.e. permitting non-standard base-pairing at the 3rd anti-codon position. Lineage: Eukaryota; Fungi; Ascomycota; Leotiomycetes; Thelebolales; Thelebolaceae. The record is from RNAcentral.
GAGACUUUAGCUUAAUCGGUAAAGCGUGUGCCUUUUAAUCACUUUAAUGGGGGUUCAAGUCCCUUAGGUCUUA